CCUACGGGAGGCUGCAGUGAGGAAUAUUGGUCAAUGGCCGCAGGGCUGAACCAGCCAAGUCGCGUGAGGGAUGACGGUCCUAUGGAUUGUAAACCUCUUUUGUCAGGGAGCAAAGGGCGCCACGUGUGGCGCUUUGCGAGUACCUGAAGAAAAAGCAUCGGCUAACUCCGUGCCAGCAGCCGCGGUAAUACGGAGGAUGCGAGCGUUAUCCGGAUUUAUUGGGUUUAAAGGGUGCGCAGGCAGAAUGUCAAGUCAGCGGUAAAAUUUCGGGGCUCAACCCCGUCGUGCCGUUGAAACUGGCGUUCUUGAGUGAGCGAGAAGUAUGCGGAAUGCGUGGUGUAGCGGUGAAAUGCAUAGAUAUCACGCAGAACUCCGAUUGCGAAGGCAGCAUACCGGCGCUCAACUGACGCUCAUGCACGAAAGCGUGGGUAUCGAACAGGAUUAGAUACCCUAGUAGUC
Molecule: ribosomal RNA, 459 nt
Filed under: uncultured bacterium
Lineage: Bacteria
Description: partial 16S ribosomal RNA
Rfam family: Bacterial small subunit ribosomal RNA
Source: RNAcentral